This 279-nucleotide ribosomal RNA is filed under the name uncultured bacterium. Its description in RNAcentral is "partial 16S ribosomal RNA". It matches the Rfam family "Bacterial small subunit ribosomal RNA", at positions 506 to 784 of the family's 1533-position model. The record is from RNAcentral.
UGCCAGCCGCCGCGGUAAUACGAAGGGUGCAAGCGUUGUUCGGAUUUAUUGGGCGUAAAGCGCGCGCAGGCGGACCUGCAAGUCAGAUGUGAAAUCUCGGGGCUCAACCCCGAAACUGCGUCUGAAACUGCUGGUCUAGAGUCUCGGAGAGGGAAGGGGAAUUUCGCAUGUAGGGGUAAAAUCCGUAGAGAUGCGAAGGAACACCGGAGGCGAAGGCGCCUUCCUGGACGAGUACUGACGCUGAGGCGCGAAAGCGUGGGGAGCAAACAGGAUUAGAUA